Molecule: long non-coding RNA, 588 nt
Organism: Hippocampus comes (tiger tail seahorse)
Lineage: Eukaryota; Metazoa; Chordata; Actinopteri; Syngnathiformes; Syngnathidae
Exons: 2
Source: RefSeq, a predicted model, not a curated record
UAAAAGCAGGGCAAAAAAGCCAAUGGAGUCAUUUUUAUAAAUGGAGCAGAGCAGAGGUAAGAUAAGUAUUAAAAAAUUGCUAGGUGUUUCUAAUGAACUGUGUUUCUUCACCUCGGGAGCAUGCCUGGAGCUUUUUCCUAAGCAUCAUCAUGCCCGGCUGAAGCCAUCCAUGAGGGGAGCAAAGGCUUUGUAAUUAACAUCCGAUGACGGAGGACUGCCCUCUCUAAAUGAGCAGCGUAAAUUACCUAGUUGGUCUUAGGCAGUGGUUCUCCAGUUGAAAGUCAGUCCCAGGCAACAUCACUGUGGCAAGCACUGCCUUCUUCGGCUGAAUCACGAUAUUCAAGGCAGAGCUCUGAAGAAGUCCGCACAUCUCGGGAAGCAACAGAGCGCCCCUGGUCAACAGAAGAGACCUCGGCUGUGCACACACAUCUUGGUCCCUUGAUUGACUCGCUGAUGUUCCUGGGGGAAGCGUGAUUGCGAGCCCGUCUUUCAUUAGACCUGAUCUGUUGAGAGGGGGCGGGUGGAAUUAAAUACGAUAUGUAGAACCACAUUUUGUUGUGAAAAGUAAAUAAAUCAAUGAUAAAUCCA